CCCUUAGAUGUUCUGGGCCGCACGCGCGCUACACUGAUGCAUUCAACGAGUCCAACCUUGACCGAGAGGUCCGGGUAAUCUUUGAAACUGCAUCGUGAUGGGGCUAGAUUAUUGCAAUUAUUAAUCUUCAACGAGGAAUGCCUAGUAAGCGUGAUUCAUCAAAUCGCGUUGAUUACGUCCCUGCCCUUUGUACACACCGCCCGUCGCUCCUACCGAUUGAGUGUGUUGGUGAGGAGUUUGGAUUGGCCUCGGAAGGUGGUUCGCCACCGUCCGUAGCUGAGAAGUUCUCCAAACCGCCCCACUUGGAGGAAGGAGAAGUCGUAACA
Molecule: ribosomal RNA, 326 nt
Filed under: uncultured eukaryote
Lineage: Eukaryota
Description: partial 18S ribosomal RNA
Rfam family: Eukaryotic small subunit ribosomal RNA
Source: RNAcentral